UAAACUGCUUUUAUAAGUGAAGAAUAUGACGGUAACUUAUGAAUAAGCACCGGCUAACUACGUGCCAGCAGCCGCGGUCAUACGUAGGGUGCAAGCAUUAUCCGGAGUGACUGGGCGUAAAGAGUUGCGUAGGUGGUUUGUUAAGCGAAUAGUGAAAUCUGGGGGCUCAACCUCACAGACUAUUAUUCGAACUGGCAAACUCGAGAAUGGUAGAGGUAACUGGAAUUUCUUGUGUAGGAGUGAAAUCCGUAGAUAUAAGAAGGAACACCAAUGGCGUAGGCAGGUUACUGGACCAUUUCUGACACUGAGGCACGAAAGCGUGGGGAGCGAACGGGAUUAGAUACCCCGGUAGUCCACGCCGUAAACGAUGGAUACUAGCUGUUGGAGGUAUCGACCCCUCCAGUAGCGAAGCUAACGCGUUAAGUAUCCCGCCUGUGGAGUACGGUCGCAAGACUAAAACAUAAAGGAAUUGACGGGGACCCGCACAAGCGGUGGAUCAUGUUCUUUAAUUCGAUGAUAAACGAUGAACCUUACCAGGGCUUGAAAUCCCGAGAAUUAAUCCGAAAGGAUUGAGUGCUUUAUUGAACUCGGUGACAGGUGUUGCAUGGCCGUCGUCAGCUCGUGUCGUGAGAUGUUUGGUUAAGUCCAUUAACGAGCGCAACCCUUAUCAAUAGUUGGAUUUUUCUAUUGAGACUGCCCCGGCAACGGGGAGGAAGGAGGGGAUGAUGUCAGGUCAGUAUUACCCUUACGUCCUGGGCUAGAAACGUGAUACAAUGGCCGGUACAAUGCGCAGCGAAGCCGCGAGGUGAAGCAAAUCGCAUCAAAACCGGUCCCAGUUCGGAUUGGAGGCUGAAACUCGCCUCCAUGAAGUCGGAAUCG
This 879-nucleotide ribosomal RNA is filed under the name uncultured bacterium. RNAcentral's name for it is "bacterial SSU rRNA". It matches the Rfam family "Bacterial small subunit ribosomal RNA", at positions 426 to 1334 of the family's 1533-position model. The record is from RNAcentral.